CAUGAGGUGAGCUAGGUUCUGCCUAACUGGAGAACCCAGCUUCGGCCGCCGAAGAAGGGUUCGGCCGCCGAACGUGGUGAGGAGGUGGUUUCGGCUGCCUCAACCUGCCCCCGAAGGAUUGGACUUUCGUCUCUGGAGGGGAGGUUCGGCCGCCGAAGGUGCCGCCGAAGGUGGAGACUUUCGUCUCUGGAGUAUGUUUUGGCCCCC
This 207-nucleotide long non-coding RNA is filed under the name Manihot esculenta (cassava). Its description in RNAcentral is "long non-coding RNA (MESC_LNC012941)". Lineage: Eukaryota; Viridiplantae; Streptophyta; Magnoliopsida; Malpighiales; Euphorbiaceae. The record is from RNAcentral.